UGUCCCAGUUCGGACUGGAGUCUGNAACCCGACUCCACGAAGUUGGAUUCGCUAGUAAUCGCGCAUCAGCCAUGGCGCGGUGAAUACGUUCCCGGGCCUUGUACACACCGCCCGUCAAGCCAUGGGAGCCGGGGGCGCCUGAAGUCCGGGACCGCGAGGACCGGCCUAGGGCGAAACUGGUAACUGGGGCUAAGUCGUAACAAGGUACC
This 209-nucleotide ribosomal RNA is filed under the name uncultured bacterium. RNAcentral describes it as "partial 16S ribosomal RNA". It matches the Rfam family "Bacterial small subunit ribosomal RNA", at positions 1284 to 1500 of the family's 1533-position model. The record is from RNAcentral.